RNAcentral lists this long non-coding RNA (2708 nucleotides) under Meleagris gallopavo (turkey). Its description in RNAcentral is "lncRNA (ENSMGAG00000021570.1)". The record is from RNAcentral. Lineage: Eukaryota; Metazoa; Chordata; Aves; Galliformes; Phasianidae.
CUCGUGUUCAGAACACUGCAUUUUAUCAUCUUGAGAGACAGACACCCUGUCUGUCUUCCAGCUUCUAUUCUGAAAAGAUGAGCUUUACGACUUAGUCACGGGGCUGGACUUCCUAUUGUCCUAAACCCUACUCGGUCACUUACGUGAGUGCAAUAUGGAUGCAAAGUGCUACCAUACCAGAAUGGUUGUACCGUAUUGGUCUGAAUAUAAGGUGACUUUAUAAAAGACCAAAGCAGAAGAUGGUAGUGGAAACAUUCUACUUCUUGUGUAUCUAGAUUGAAACCAUCUCCUCUAUUCCACACUUCCUCUAUCGCCCUCAGCAGUGCCUAAUUUAGGCAGAAGAAGAUAUGACAAUAAAACCGCAUCUUGCUCUCAAAAGGUUGCUGAAAAUUCUUUCCUGGGAUCAAGCUGCCAGACAAUCCACCAGCAAGGCAGGUGACUGCAUCGAAGGGACAUAACUUCACCUGAAGCUGUGAGAAAUGAGACCUAAGCUUGGGAAAACUACAAAGUUUUGUACAGUUUAUGGAUGCAGCAUGAUCCUGAUUUGGAACAACACAUACAGACUGUCAACCACUUGCUGCUACAAAGUAUGUGCUCAAGUUAAUGUGCGCAAGCACAUGCUAAAUUUACUAUAUGCAUGUAUGUAGACAGAAGCCUACAAAAUUUCUUUUUUUAAUCAUUAAUUACUUUUAAAGGUCUGAUCCUUAACUUGAACUGAGUCAAAUAGCAUUUGAAAACUCUAGUGUACUUUUAAAUUAAUCAUGGACUUUGAAGAUAUUAUGCUUGAUAAUGCUCUAACACAAUUUAAAGUUAUAAUUGAUUUCGUCAGUUUGUGCUAGUGUAGAGGUCAGAGUUCUAUGUCUGCUAUAAUUAUUUGAACAACAACAGCAAAUGUAGCAUGGGGGCAGUUUUGCAGUUUGUUUCAGUGUUUUAAGUCCUCUUAUGUCUCUUUUUUGGUCUAAAAUUACGCUUUCUUAUUAAAAAAAGAAACAGAUCUGGUGCUUUAGAAGGUAAAGUGACUAAUAUUCUUUCUAAGUUUUGUACUGAAAUCUUUUUCAGGAUAUUUAAAAUUCGGAAUACUUAACUAGAUUGCUAUUUUAAGGCCUGUUCCAAAGGCGACUUAUGGUUUCAGUGAGCUACCAUCAGGCCUUAGUGACUCCUGGGAAAAUAAAUGAUCUGUGUGUUUUAAAUAAGAAUAUUAUAAUAUUUCCUGAAAUUUAUCCAAGAACCUAUUUUGAAGAGUUUACAACAGCAGACUUAAUUCAGUGUUCUAAAAGAUAAUUUUCUGUAACGGUUGUAGAUUCACUUAUAGCUAUCAAAUAUAGGAAGAUUUAAAAUGUUUUCUUUUUUAAUUUCAGUUAGUAAGAUUUAUUUCCAAAGAGGAGAUCAGCAGGACUUUUUUCUGAAAGGAUUUAAUUAAAGUUAGCAAGUAAUUUUGUGUUCUGCAGCAUGUUACAUAUUGUGAAAAGGUUAUAGAUUCACCCAGUGCAGUGCAUCAGAAGUAUAGGGGUGAUAGGUGAAGUUCUUUUUGUUGCAAGUGCUGAGAUAUAAUCAUUUAAAAGGUCGCUUGCACUCAAGAAUAGCAUUUAUUUAAUAAGCAACUUGUUUUGGGAUAUGCUGCAUUUUUAAAGGUUAAAACAGUGUCUUACUGACCAAUGUGAUCAGUGAUGAGUUUUUUUUUCUUUAAAAAAUGAUUCUGAAAGUUACUUUAGAUUUGAGUAUUUGUUAAAAUCCUGUGUGAUAUAUCAUCAUUUUGAAGGUUCAAAAUUUGAUAUAAUUAUUAGAACUUAAGAGGUUGGAGAUCUAGCUAGAAUUAAUUUGUUUCAAUUGUUAUGUGCUUUGCUACUGUAGUAAAACUAUAAUAAUUUUAAGUAUGGAAAUACUGGUUACAAUUUAUCACAGUGCACAGUGUGUUGCUGUGUAUGUCGACACUUGUUUUAGAAGGAAAAGUCAGUCAUCCGAAGUGAGGGAAAAAGAUUGAUUUUCGUGUUUUAUAAAGUGAUUUGGGAGUGACAUAGAUUAUGUAGGUAUGAAAGAGAAAAGUGGAUUAUAUUUUAAAUAGUAAUGUGAAAGACCAUAAAAUUAGAAUAGUGUUUCAGAGAACUGAGAAAGAAGAAUUUUAAAACAAUUAUUUAGUUCUUACUAUGUUUUUGCAGGGGAGUUCAUACUCAGUGACAAGUAUGCUCUGUGUUUAGAGAAGUUUUUCCUUUUUCUCUCAAAAGAGUACAAACUGGCAUCAAUUUUCUUUAAGUCUCAGCAUUUUCUACUGACAAUGCUCAAUAGUCCAUAGACAUCAAGGAGGAAAGAGCUUUUAUAACUGCUCUUUGCUGAAUAAGAUGUUAUGGUCAGUUUUCUCCUUGAUCCUUAAACUUGCUAGUAUUGUUAAUAAUUUGCUUUAAAUGUUUUUUUGUUUGUUUGUUUGUUUGGGGUUUUUUUUGUACCAUUUUCCUGGUACAAAUUGUAGAAAUUAUACUAGCUGUGAAAACAAAAGUAUUUUAGUGAGAUGGUGUUGAUCAGUUCUAUCCAUUGAACGUUACUUAUGUGAGUACGAAAAAGAAAAAAGAAAAAACGCAUGAGGAAUUAACAGAAAUGAACGGCUUACAUUUGCUUUGGGAUAAUUUUUACUCAAAUAAAGCCAUCCUCCUUAAUUUGCCUCGCUUUCCAUUUAAAAGAGGGCAAAAUCUAUUUCCUGGGCAAUUUUGCACAGC